RNAcentral lists this transfer RNA (53 nucleotides) under Blomia tropicalis. Its description in RNAcentral is "tRNA-Cys". Lineage: Eukaryota; Metazoa; Arthropoda; Arachnida; Sarcoptiformes; Echimyopodidae. The record is from RNAcentral.
ACCUCUAUAGUUUACAAAAACAUUAGGUUGCAAACCUAAAAAUUUAAGAGGCC